RNAcentral lists this ribosomal RNA (331 nucleotides) under uncultured bacterium. RNAcentral's name for it is "bacterial SSU rRNA". It matches the Rfam family "Bacterial small subunit ribosomal RNA", at positions 568 to 898 of the family's 1533-position model. The record is from RNAcentral.
CGCGUAGGCGGCGGACCUUGUCGAGUGUGAAAGCCCCGGGCUCAACCUGGGAGGUGCGCUCGAGACGGGUUUGCUGGAGUUCGGGAGAGGAGAGUGGAAUUCCCAGUGUAGAGGUGAAAUUCGUAGAUAUUGGGAAGAACACCGGUGGCGAAGGCGGCUCUCUGGACCGAGACUGACGCUGAGGCGCGAAAGCGUGGGGAGCAAACAGGAUUAGAUACCCUGGUAGUCCACGCUGUAAACGAUGUGUGCUAGACGUUGGGGAGCGCAGCUCUUCGGUGUCGCCGCAAACGCUUUAAGCACACCGCCUGGGGAGUACGGCCGCAAGGUUAAA